GACGAACGCUGGCGGCGUGCCUAACACAUGCAAGUCGAACGGGGGGAACAUGAAGUAUUUCGGUACGGAAUGCGCCCCUAGUGGCGAACGGGUGAGUAACACGUGGGCAACCUGCCCCAGACUGGGGGAUAACAUUGUGAAAACAGUGCUAAUACCGCAUGACAGGGUUCCGGGCAUCCGGGACCCUUGAAAGGAGAAAUCCGGUCAGGGAUGGGCCCGCGUCCAAUUAGCUAGUUGGCGGGGUAACGGCCCACCAAGGCGACGAUUGGUAGCCGAACUGAGAGGUUGAUCGGCCACAUUGGGACUGAGACACGGCCCAGACUCCUACGGGAGGCAGCAGUGGGGAAUAUUGGGCAAUGGGCGAAAGCCUGAUCCAGCAACGCCGCGUGAGGGAUGACGGCCUUCGGGUUGUAAACCUCUUUCAGUAGGACGAAGCGCAAGUGACGGUACCUACAGAAGAAGCACCGGCCAACUACGUG
RNAcentral lists this ribosomal RNA (479 nucleotides) under uncultured bacterium. RNAcentral describes it as "bacterial SSU rRNA". It matches the Rfam family "Bacterial small subunit ribosomal RNA", at positions 28 to 507 of the family's 1533-position model. The record is from RNAcentral.